GAUGAACGCUGGCGGUAUGCUUAACACAUGCCAGUCGUACGGACUCUUCGGAGUUAGUGGCGGACGGGUGAGUAACGCGUGAGAAUCUGGCUUUGGGUUCGGGACAACCACUGGAAACGGUGGCUAAUACCGGAUGUGCCGAGAGGUAAAAGAGAAAUUGCCUGAAGAUGAGCUCGCGUCUGAUUAGCUAGUUGGUGAGGUAAAGGCUCACCAAGGCAGCGAUCAGUAGCUGGUCUGAGAGGAUGACCAGCCACACUGGGACUGAGACACGGCCCAGACUCCUACGGGAGGCAGCAGUGGGGAAUUUUCCGCAAUGGGCGAAAGCCUGACGGAGCAAUACCGCGUGAGGGAAGAAGGCUCUUGGGUUGUAAACCUCUUUUCUUAGGGAAGAACAAAAUGACGGUACCUAAGGAAUCAGCAUCGGCUAACUCCGUG
RNAcentral lists this ribosomal RNA (435 nucleotides) under uncultured bacterium. RNAcentral describes it as "partial 16S ribosomal RNA". It matches the Rfam family "Bacterial small subunit ribosomal RNA", at positions 28 to 507 of the family's 1533-position model. The record is from RNAcentral.